AGCUGUGUCCUGGCUCAGACGGACAGCUCUGACUCGCUCUCUCUUUCUCUGGGCGCCUGCGCGCCUACCAUGUCAAGCCAUUUGAGGCGAGCCGAGCCCCAGAGCCACGUCUCUGGUGCACAGAGUUAACAGGGCAGUUAUACCUUUUACAGACAACUGUGGCUCCAAGUCAAGUAUGAACUUUCACAAACAGUUUAUAUAACAAGUGGAGGUGUGCGCCUGCGUGCCAAACUUGCUGACUCAUGCAGGCCUGGAUACCCGCCUCAGCCUAUUCCUUGACCGAAGCACUUCCAGGGCAGGAAACUGAAGCUCUUGGGAAGGCGGAAGUUGCACGUGGUCUCACAGUCAACUGUGCCAGAAUAGGAGGCCAGGAACCAUCUCUGCUGGAGGAAGACCCACCACGCAUCCCUUCAAGAGUGCCAAGGUCCAGAGCAAGCGCUUCCCUUCUAUGGGCACAGGAGGGCUGUGGGAGCCCACAAAUGUGCUUCUGGCCAGAGUGGGAUCCCCGAGGAAGAUGUUAAGACCUCUAAUAAUAUUUAAGAGCAAAAUUAGCACAGCUCCAGCCCAUGGGCAAGUUAGAGACAGGAGUAGUGUCUGUGGAGUGGAGGAAAGCAGAGGCUGCCGCUGACCAUCCUGCAGCCCUCGCUCUGGCUGCUCACAGCUCUCCACCUUCUCUGGACUUCGUCACUUCAGUAUGUGAAACAACCAUUUCAACCAGCUUGGACAAAAGAGAGAAGCCAAGAUGGGGCUGAGAAACCAAUGCAGGCAGGCCCAGGGACCCAGGAGUCAGGGACCAGGUGCUACCAGAUGCUUGCUCCGACUCGUGUUGCUGCUGUCUUCUCUGUGCCUCAACUCUGUCCUCUGUCACUGCAGGCAGCUUCCUCCCAAGGUGAUCUCGAUGGGAUAACCACAUUGGUUUGUUUAGUAAACACUGAGACCAACUCCACCAUCCAGAGGCCUGACAGACAAAUGGCCUGAGACAGGGCUGGGAAAGUUUUGCUUCUGGUUGGGACUUCAGGAAGAGUUUUGUUUUGUUUUGUUUUCCCCCAAGGGAACAAGCCCUUGAAUCCGGGAGGCCGAGGUUGCGGUGAACCGAGAUUGCGCCAUUGCACUCCAGCCUGGGCAACAAGAGCGAAACUCCGUCUCAAAAACAU
This 1154-nucleotide long non-coding RNA is filed under the name Pan troglodytes (chimpanzee). Its description in RNAcentral is "lincRNA". The record is from RNAcentral. Lineage: Eukaryota; Metazoa; Chordata; Mammalia; Primates; Hominidae.